Molecule: ribosomal RNA, 239 nt
Filed under: uncultured bacterium
Lineage: Bacteria
Description: partial 16S ribosomal RNA
Rfam family: Bacterial small subunit ribosomal RNA
Source: RNAcentral
GCGUUAUCCGGAUUCACUGGGUUUAAAGGGUGCGUCGGUGGGUUUGUAAGUCAGUGGUGAAAUCUCCAAGCUUAACUUGGAAACUGCCGUUGAUACUAUAAAUCUUGAAUGUUGUGGAGGUGAGCGGAAUAUGUCAUGUAGCGGUGAAAUGCUUAGAUAUGACAUAGAACACCAAUUGCGAAGGCAGCUCACUACACAAAGAUUGACACUGAGGCACGAAAGCGUGGGGAUCAAACAGG